CAACCCGCUCAGCGUUAUCUAGCAUUUAACGGACAUUUUUCCUUCAAAACACUUUCUUGUUAUGAUUUGUAUGCAGCGAAGAUAAAAAAGCAAGUCAACGAAAUGUCUUUCCCACUUCCCCCGUAAAUACUACGAAGAAAUAGAGCAAGCAAAACAAACGUCAGACGAGCGAUCUAGUUGCGCGUCGGUUGCUAGGGAGGCUGCCUCGUGCGAAUUUAUCGUGCGAGUUACCAAGUGCGGGUUUUUAUUUCAGUGUGAUAAUUUGUUGUGUCCCUAAAAAAACGAAAACAAAAAACAUGGUUCAGCUGGGCCGGGUCGGACGGCAUGUGUGUUUAUUUGCUACCAUCAAACUGGGGUGGGCGCCUAGGCCGUUUUGUGUGUUGUGUUUGCGAAUGUGAUUUGUGCCCCACCCGGAGGAAAGCCGAUGGCUGAUCGAGCAAUCCGACAAAGAGAAAAAAAAACAACAUAACAUCCACAAGUAUACCUUGUCAUCAUGAAGACUUCAGAAACUUCCUUCCACCAUCAUGGCAUCUAGAUCAGUCCAGCUUUAUUUGUGGGUGAUUUGAUUUAUUUUGAUUUGAUUUGUUGAGUUCAAAGUUGCCACCAGCUCUCACGCGGCUCGACAAAUCGUGUGCCUGCUUCGCGUGCCAAUUCCGACGACAGCUCGACACUUCAGUGAAUAUUCCACAAAAAGUUGUACACUCUAAGCGUGGAUAGGGAGGUAAUUCAAUCAACAUAAAUUACAGUUUUGUCAAUCGUGGAGCUAAGUUUGGCAUUUGUGAUGCUUCAUAGCGAUGCAAUUCAAUGGAAGUAAAGUUUCCUGACUAAAAAUGGCAACAUCUGGCAAAAAUGGCAAAAAGAUGCUGAAAACGCAAGCUAGAACAAUGUUUGUAUCGUUGUUAAAAUGAAACGUUUGUUUUAUUUUUUGUGUACAUACUUUUCACUUUUAUAGAUGUUAAUUUAAGUAUUAGUUUUGCAAGAAGCAACAAUAAAUAAAAAUAGGAAAGAUCCGGUGGUCGAUUCCAUAAAAAAGCCGGCAUCAAGAUUA
This is a long non-coding RNA of Anopheles gambiae (African malaria mosquito), 1048 nucleotides long. RefSeq lists it as uncharacterized. Lineage: Eukaryota; Metazoa; Arthropoda; Insecta; Diptera; Culicidae. The record is from RefSeq and is a predicted model, not a curated record. The transcript is spliced from 2 exons.